AACGAACGCUGGCGGCAUGCCUAACACAUGCAAGUCGAACGAGACCUUCGGGUCUAGUGGCGCACGGGUGCGUAACGCGUGGGAACCUGCCCUUAGGUUCGGAAUAACUCCCCGAAAGGGGUGCUAAUACCGGAUAAUGUCUUCGGACCAAAGAUUUAUCGCCUUGGGAUGGGCCCGCGUUGGAUUAGCUAGUUGGUAGUGUAAAAGCCUACCAAGGCGACGAUCCAUAGCUGGUCUGAGAGGAUGAUCAGCCACACUGGGGCUGGGACACGGCGCAGACAUUUGAGAAAGGCAGCAGGGGGGAUCAUGGGACAAUGGGCGAGAGACUAAUGCAUUAGUGCUGUGUGAGUCAUGAAGGCGGUAGGGAAGUAAGGCGCUUAUACCCGGGAUGAUAAGGACAGUCCCGAAGAAAUAGGCCCCGGUUAACUCCGU
Molecule: ribosomal RNA, 432 nt
Filed under: uncultured bacterium
Lineage: Bacteria
Description: partial 16S ribosomal RNA
Rfam family: Bacterial small subunit ribosomal RNA
Source: RNAcentral